CCUACGGGAGGCAGCAGUGGGGAAUAUUGCACAAUGGGGGAAACCCUGAUGCAGCGACGCCGCGUGAGUGAAGAAGUAUUUCGGUACGUAAAGCUCUAUCAGCAGGGAAGAAAAUGACGGUGCCUAACUGAGCAUCCCCGGCUAACUACGUGCCAGCAGCCGAGGUAAUACGUAGGGCGCAAACGUUAUCCGGAUUUAUUGGGGGUAAAGGGAGCGCAGGCGGCAGCGCAAGUCUGAAGUGAAAGCCCAUGGCUUAACCAGGGAGCUGCAUUGGAAACUGUGCGGCUGGAGUGCAGGAGAGGUGAGCGGAAUUCCAAGUGUAGCGGUGAAAUGCGUAGAUAUAAGGAGGAACACCAGUGGCGAAGGCGGCUCACUGGACUGUAACUGACGUUGAGGCUCGAAAGCGUGGGGAGCAAACAGGAUUAGAUACCCGUGUAGUC
This 440-nucleotide ribosomal RNA is filed under the name uncultured bacterium. Its description in RNAcentral is "partial 16S ribosomal RNA". It matches the Rfam family "Bacterial small subunit ribosomal RNA", at positions 338 to 795 of the family's 1533-position model. The record is from RNAcentral.